GUACUCGCUUUGGCAGCACAUAUAUUAAAAUAGGAAUGAUACAGAGAAGAUCAGCACGGCCCCUGCACAAGGGUGACAUGCAACUUCAUGAAGCAUUCCAUAUUUUU
Small nuclear RNA from Gorilla gorilla gorilla (western lowland gorilla), 107 nucleotides. Lineage: Eukaryota; Metazoa; Chordata; Mammalia; Primates; Hominidae. The record is from Ensembl.